RNAcentral lists this ribosomal RNA (253 nucleotides) under uncultured bacterium. RNAcentral describes it as "partial 16S ribosomal RNA". It matches the Rfam family "Bacterial small subunit ribosomal RNA", at positions 524 to 776 of the family's 1533-position model. The record is from RNAcentral.
UACGUAGGGGGCAAGCGUUGUUCGGAUUUACUGGGCGUAAAGGGCGCGUAGGCGGCGCAACAAGUCACUUGUGAAAUCUCCGGGCUUAACUCGGAGAGGUCAAGUGAUACUGUUGUGCUAGAGUGCGGAAGGGGCAACUGGAAUUCUCGGUGUAGCGGUGAAAUGCGUAGAUAUCGAGAGGAACACCUGCGGCGAAGGCGGGUUGCUGGGCCGACACUGACGCUGAUGCGCGAAAGCCAGGGGAGCGAACGGG